AGAUAACGCGUUGGCCCUUAAGAAAGAUGGCAUCUUUCCGCCUUCUCUGCCCCCUUCCAAGAUGGCUGCCCUAAUGUACACUUGGGACCUUGCCUGGCGCCUCUUCCGGGCUUGGCAGCGGGCGGGGUCCAUUGAGUAAAGCCUUGCGUGCCUGCGCCCGCGACGGAGGCGCGCUUCAAAGCGCAGGCGCGGGGAGGGGGUGGGGGAGGAGGGAAAGCGGCGAGUAAGAUGGAAGAUGAGGAGGUCGCUGAGAGCUGGGAAGAGGCGGCAGACAGCGGGGCCAACCAGGAUCUCCCAACCCGAAGACAGCAGGCAGCCCAAUAAUGUGAUCAGACAGCCUUUGGGUCCUGAUGGGUCUCAAGGCUUCAAACAGCGCAGAUAAAUGCAGGCAAGAAAAGAUGCCGCCGUUGCUGCCGUCACCGCCUCCUGGGUCGUCCGCCACGGGUUGCACUGCCGUGGCAGACAGCUGGACUUGAGCAGAGGGAACGACCUGACUUACUUGCACUGUGAUCCCCCUUGCUCCGCCCACUGUGACCUUGAACCCCAUGCACUGUGACCUCCCCCCUUCUCCCCCUUCCCACUGUGAUUGGCACAUCGACAAGGGCUGUCCCAAGUCAAUGGAAAGGGAAAGGGUGGGGGUUAGGGGAAGGUUGGGGGGACCCAGCAAGGACUCAGAGAGUCAGACAGUGCCACUUGGCCACUUGGGGUAAAGCCAGUGCCAGCAAUAACAGUUUAUCAUGCUCAUUAAUUUGGGAUUUCAAAACACAAAUGAAAACUCACACCCACCCACCCCCAAGUGCAUGUCUCCAUCACUUAAAAAGUAAGUUCCAUUUGAAAAUAUCCUUUCUUUUUUUUUUCUUCCUAUUUUUGUUUGUUUAUACAAAUAUCUGAUUUGCAAGAAAAAGUGCAUGGGAGGGGUUUUAGUGGUUUAAUGAAUUUUUAAUUAAGAAAGGGUAGUUUGGUAGUCUACUUAAAAAUGUUUCUGGGAAAUUCACUAGAAACAUUAACCAAUAGGAUUUUGGUGAGCUUAGCUUCUGUAUUCCUACUGCCGCCCAGAAAAGGGGCAGGGCUCUGCAGCCGCCAGGACAGACGAGCACCCCAUGCCUAUACCUCCCUCCCCGAGCUAAGUCCCAGGGCAUCUGGGCCUUGCCUGGAGACUGGGCUAGCUCUGUAGGCUCGGAGAGCCUGGGGAGGGUGCCAACCCCACCUCUAGUAUUUUGGGAGAUAGGGAAAGUGAACCGACUUCCCCUUCCCAUACCCCUCAGGGUGGUUCCCUACCAGCCAGGCUUACUACUUCUAGAAGAAAGCAGAGUGCCAGGGAGUGAGAUUGCAUCCCUGGGCUUAGAAGUGACGGAGAGAAGACUUGUUUAGUAUUUUGCCAUCAGCACAAGGAAAACCAGGAGAGAGUCUGCCUCCAGGACUCUGAGCCUUCUGCCUCGUAUGUUCAGAAGGUGGAUAGGUCUUCCCACUCCAGCAUGGCUUGAACUCUUAGGGGUCUGCAGUGCUCCAUCUCCAUUGGUGGCCCCAGCUCAGUAACUAUACCUGGUACAUUUCCUGUGUGCAAUCAGUACCUUGAAGGCAGAACAUUCUGAAUAAAGUUGGAAAAAGAACAGCUUUGCUUUGCAAAGAUUGAUGACAGACUGGUUCCUCAGAGGCCUAGGCUACCCGUCACCCCUUUUUCCAGAGCGAGGGCCUGGAAUGAAGGCAGUUUAUCCUCUGUCCCUGGAGCCUGGGGUUUGCUUUGGCUCCUUGAGGUGGAAGAGACUAAGAGGGCAGCUGCCCAGAGCAGCUGUGUGUACCUGGCUCCUCUCAGGCUUCCUGAUCCCUUCCGUUGCACUGCGCCUUAUCCCUCAGCCAGCCAGACAGCCUCCCUGCUCCUGACCAGCAGAUACGUUUCGGAGUGGUUGGUGUGGUUUUUGUGAUGAGGGCAGCACGUGGUGGCCAAGGUGGCAAGCUGAGUCUCACAGGCUCACUCCCUCGUUGGUUCCCUGUGGGAAUGGUAGGCCAGGCCCAGUAAGCCAUGCCCCAACACGUCCUCUCCUCCGGAGGAAGGGCCAGCUGCCAGCUGAGUCAGCAGCUAGUCCAUAGCACAGCCUUAUAACUGUAAAGCCAGGCAUUGCCCAUGAGCAGAGCUGGAACCAGAGCUUCAGUCAGUAAGAGGGAGGAUUACCUUCAGGAGAAGGCAAGGAAGAAAACUGGCUGCUAUCUUUAUAGUUCCACUGCCCUAACCAAGUGUCCACAUUCUAAAUGUGUAGUGUCCAUCCCUUAUGUAAUAGUGGUUUCCCGCCCAAAGUGAGACUUUCCUUUUAAUUGGAGAAGGGUAUAGAGGUAGUCCAGGUGGGAACGCCAGAAGUGCUGAUUGCCCAGCCAUUGGGACCACCUGUUCUUGCCCCACUACCCUCUAGUGGGAGGCCAAAGUAAAGGCUGGCUGGUGGGUGUCUGUGGAUUGAGGAUGUGGCAGGGACUGGUCCUCCCACCUCCCUCUGGCCAAAGAUGGGCUUUGCCCGCUGUGUGCCUGUCACCACCCACCAGCAGUCAUGCCCUGGGCUUCCCAAAUGGAGAGGUAGCAGGCAACGUUUUUAAAAAGAAAGAAAACAGGAAACUGUAUUGUGUCGGGGGAGGCGGGAGGGAGAUGAGGAAACGGUUUGGAUUUUGUGUGUGGGAGGGUAUUUUUUGGGGGUAGUUGUCUGUAACUUUCCUAAGUGCUUUUUUUCCUUUUCUUUUUUAAAGUAAGUUGCAGGCUUUGGCUUGGAAAACCCCAGGGGGAUGGGGGGCAGAAACCUGAGGCUGCUGCCCCUUUAUCUGCCUUCACGGUACUGUCCCCUUCCCCCAGCUCCUCCCUGACCCCAUGGGCCAGGCCUCAGACCUUCCAGCUAACCGCUUCCCAUGAGCCACUACUCUGAUGUCAGCCUAUAACCAAAGGAGCUGGGGGGUCCAGGCCUGGUGACCAACCUUUCUCAGCCCACUCAAUCAGGGUGCUCCCCACCUGCAGGCAGGAGGCAACACCCUAUCUGCUACCAUCAGCCCCUUCCAGAGCCCAUCUGCCCCGCCCAGCCCUGCCCUGCCCAGCCAUACCCUGCUCUGCCCCAUCUGGGGGUGCCCUGCUCAGGGAUGGGCUGGCAGGGCUGUACCCAGCCUCCCUGGUAAGCAGAGACUCAAGAAACCUCUGGGGUCCUGUUUUCUGGUCGUGUGAUCCCAGGGGUGCACAUGGGCCCCUUGGGUGUCUGAACAGAAGGGCAUGGGAGGGAGGGCUGCACCCCUGCAGUCUUACUCUGCUGGUGUAGCGGGCAGCUGCCCACUCCCACCCCACCCUGCACCGCGGGCUCCUGAGUCGGCAGAUUAAGCAUUUUAUAAAUUGUAUUUUAAAUACAUGUUUUAAACUUGUCAGAU
Molecule: long non-coding RNA, 3390 nt
Filed under: Homo sapiens (human)
Lineage: Eukaryota; Metazoa; Chordata; Mammalia; Primates; Hominidae
Description: long non-coding RNA NONHSAT001104.2
Source: RNAcentral